RNAcentral lists this small nuclear RNA (106 nucleotides) under Nelumbo nucifera (sacred lotus). Lineage: Eukaryota; Viridiplantae; Streptophyta; Magnoliopsida; Proteales; Nelumbonaceae. The record is from RNAcentral.
GCCUCUUUGGAGACAUUUGAUAAAAUUGGAACGAUAGGGAGAAGAUUUGCAUGGCAUGGCCCCUGCACAAGGAUGACACACAAAUCGAGAAAUGGUCCAAACUUUA